AGACCCGAAACCCGGUGAUCUAGCCAUGGGCAGGUUGAAGGUUGGGUAACACUAACUGGAGGACCGAACCGACUAAUGUUGAAAAAUUAGCGGAUGACCUGUGGCUGGGGGUGAAAGGCCAAUCAAACCGGGAGAUAGCUGGUUCUCCCCGAAAGCUAUUUAGGUAGCGCCUCGUGAAUUCAUCUCCGGGGGUAGAGCACUGUUUCGGCUAGGGGGCCAUCCCGGCUUACCAACCCGAUGCAAACUGCGAAUACCGGAGAAUGUUAUCACGGGAGACACACGGCGGGUGCUAACGUCCGUCGUGAAGAGGGAAACAACCCAGACCGCCAGCUAAGGUCCCAAAGUCAUGGUUAAGUGGGAAACGAUGUGGGAAGGCCCAGACAGCCAGGAUGUUGGCUUAGAAGCAGCCAUCAUUUAAAGAAAGCGUAAUAGCUCACUGGUCGAGUCGGCCUGCGCGGAAGAUGUAACGGGGCUAAACCAUG
This 482-nucleotide ribosomal RNA is filed under the name Salmonella enterica subsp. enterica serovar Infantis. Its description in RNAcentral is "partial 23S ribosomal RNA". It matches the Rfam family "Bacterial large subunit ribosomal RNA", at positions 711 to 1191 of the family's 2925-position model. RNAcentral also lists the same sequence under 173 other names. The record is from RNAcentral. Lineage: Bacteria; Pseudomonadati; Pseudomonadota; Gammaproteobacteria; Enterobacterales; Enterobacteriaceae.